GUAACAGCUGCUCGGCAGCGCAUGAAGUUCCCGGGCCAGGGUUUGAAGAUGAGACAACGCCGGAUCCUUUAACCCACUGCACCCGGCCAGGGAUUGAACCUGCACCUCGGCAGCGACGACCGGAGCCGCCAGCAUCAGGCUCUCUCAGUCCCCUGCACCGCGGCAGGAAGUCGUCUUGCAGUUUUCUUCACCAGGGGAAACCAGGCUUGACUCAAGAGACACUUCUGACAGAGCACAGCGGCCAAGCCGACACGACAACGUUUCCUGUCACGGACCUCAAGCAGCAGAGCGGGAUGCAAGGUUCGUGGCCAUGAACCCACUUUGACUUAGGUAGACCAGCGGGCCGGGUUGUCUCCUGAAUAUGAAGGUGAAAACGACCCGGCCUGGAAACCAUAAACAUACCUCAGAGGUGCAGCAAGUUCAAAGACACUGCUGAAAUGCAGAUCUCAGAAAAAAGGGGCUCAGGCUUUCGCAGGACGAUUUCAUAAAGUGAGGGACAAAGAGCUUCACUAAAUGAAAAGUCGCCAAUUCAAUGGGGCUAGAGGUUGCACACAAACGGCCUCAGUUCUCCCGAGUUAGGGCCGGUUUAAAGCUGUCGUUCUAGGAAGCACUGAAAUCCACUGUGAAUAGCACCUAUUGUGCUAUAACACGCAUAAAUCGUUUUUAUUUGCAUGAGAAGGGCGCCAAUGACCUCGCACCACAAGAUGUAAUUAAGAAGUAAUUGUAGUAUCUCGGUUAGCCUUAGAUAAAUGCUGGAUUACUGCAAGCAGAAAAGUUGUGAUUUUAACCAGAGAGAGGCAUUUCACUGCUGAGUAUAAAGUCUACCUGGGUCCUUUCCAUGAUAAGGACAGAGCAAGCUGACUAGUAAUUAUAUUCCAUGAUAAAAACAAAAGUCACUGUUCAAUUUCUAAGGCACCAGAAAGAGUUUGGAAUGAAAGAGCUUCACAGAGACAGAACCAAAGAUUCAAGCUACUGGUCAGAGGGCAACUAACUCAGAAAUGCCUGGGAUCAUGUUUCUCUCAAUGAAGCAAAAGCAGGGUUCAUUCCUUUGGGAACUAGUUGAGCGCAUAUUAUGCACUAAGGAUGGCUGGGCAGGAGGUGAGGCUGGCGCUGGGACAGGGAGAGAUGUGGCGAGAAAGGUUUAAGCGGUGAGGAUUUAGAGCAAUCACAGGCACUGAGACGUGCGGGAAAGGUGACCUGGGACCGCUGGAAGACGUGAGGGCCACUUGUAGCUCCACACCAAACAUCUGUGGAGUUCCCAACAGGAGGCAUUCAACGGUUGUUGAAGUGACAAGGGAUGCUGGGCUGUGAGCCCUGGGCUCUGGCCGUAGCUCUGUCACAACUGGACGGCCUUGCCAAGGCCCGUAUCCUCCGGAGGGGUCUUAAAAGUGUUCUUUUCGUUGAUGAAACAAAAAGACUUCAGAGCAUGCCUCCUACAGGACAUCUCUCCUUUUGUGACACAGUUAGUCACACGAGUCAUACGUACAGCUCACACUACUCCAUCCUGUUUACAAGGAAGGUGUGAAAAGUACAGGACAGCAGGUCCCUGGCUGGGUACGGUACCUGUACUGGUUUUAAAUACAUGCUCAGCAAAGAUCAGUUUUGCAUGUCUUAUCCUAGGGGAAGUAAACAGAAUGGCAAAGGACAAAUAGGGGCCACGUUUUGUUUUGUUUUGUUAACUCUUAUAAUGUAUCGUCUAGUAUCCAGAUAAACAGUCUUUAACAGGAGUCCCUGGAUAGGCUUUUGGGGAGGGUUCAUAAACACCCUGAAAUUACAUGCACUGGUUUCCUACCUGAAUGCAUGCACAAACUUUGUUUGCAUUUUCAAGUAUAGCAAUAAAUCUCUCUCUGAAAAAAGAAAAAAAAAAAAAAAAAGAAGGGGGUUAAGAACCGCUGCUCUAAGAAUGUUCCUCUUCCGGGAGUUCCCUGGUCGCUUAGAAGUUAAGGACUCCGCAUUGUCACUGCUGUGACUCUGGUCUCUGGUCCCAUCCCUGGCUGGGAACUUCCGAAUGCAGCAGGUGCUCCCCCAAAAAGGGAAUGUUCUUUUUUUAAAGCAACUUUCCUAAAGUAAUCAUGGGUCUAAUUCUCAUUGUGUCUAUUAACCACUAGGCAAGGAGUUAAAACUGAAUUGCUUUGUACAGCUUAACCCACCACUGUACCGUUUGAAAUACUACACCGUGGUAUUUGAGAUGCUGAACAGCUCAAACAAAAUCGCAUCGAUACAACUCUGGAACCGUACACACGAAUUAGUCCCACAAUUUAAAAACGCGUUUGCAGAAGUUCCCGUUUAGGCUUAGAGGAAACAAAUCUGACUAGCAGCCAGGAGGACACAGGUUCAGUCCCGGCCUUGCUCAGUAGGUUAAGGAUCCGGCGUUGCCGUGAGCUGCGGUGUAGGUCGCAGACGCGGCUCUAACCCCGCUUUGCUGUGGCUGUGGGGGUAGGUCAGCAGCUGCAGCUCCGAAUCCCCCCCAGCCUGGGAACCUCCCUAUGGCGCAGGUGCGGCCCUAAAAAAAUUUCGUCUUCAUUGACCCCCAUUAGGUGUCACUUCGCCUCUAUGACACCCACCGCGGAAAACAAGCACAAGUUGGCCGCAGAACGGCGACGAACGGGGUCACAUUCUUCUCGGCCACGCCCGUCCCUCCCGGCUCUGCGAUCCCAGGCCUUCCGAGCAUCCGCAGCGGGCGGGCACGUUGCCGGCCACCGGGCAAGGCCACCCGGGGAGCUCUCGCAGACGGACGGCGGCGCCGAGCUCCCGUCGUGCCUCUACCGGCGUCCACUCACGCCUUCGGGAGUCAUGGCCUGUCUCUUGUCAGCCUUCCAUCACGAGCCCCGGCCACGAUGCCUGCCUGACCCCACUCUCCCCGGCGCCUUGCAGAUGUCAGCCGCGCCCAGCCACGGCAGCAACCCGCGCCCAACGCCUCAAACGCCGGCGACGGGCGACACGUGACCAACGCCCGCAAACCCCGGCCGCCGCUGCCGGCUUCCCGCGAGGCCGGC
Molecule: long non-coding RNA, 2996 nt
Filed under: Sus scrofa (pig)
Lineage: Eukaryota; Metazoa; Chordata; Mammalia; Artiodactyla; Suidae
Description: lncRNA (ENSSSCG00030033155.1)
Source: RNAcentral